AGCGUACCCUACCGGUCCGUCUCUCCUGUGCUUUAGAGGGGCGACUGUGGCAGUCGAGCUGGGAGGUAGAGGAACCCAUCUCCGAAGAAUAGCUGAACCGUGGUGACCCAAGGACCGUCAUCCGGUAGAAGGGUAGAGCUAGAGAAAGUUGGGCAGGCCCUGUACUAGGGUCUAGCCAGCAUUUUGUUUAUAUUUCCAAUCCCAGGAAGGUCACUCUUGAUUGCUGAUUUUGCUUCUCACCGUCUGUGCUGCCAGCUUGCCCUAAAGAAACUGACUGACCAGAAUGGAUGUAACGAAAGGGUACUCCCUUAUAGGAGAGCUUUUCAACUGCAUUUUGUAUUUCUGCUCCCUAAGUGGGAACGUCUUGGUCUACAGUUUAAGGAAACAGUUAGAUCUUUGACCCUCUGGGUUCUGCUUGAGGCAGGACAGUGAGGCUGGACUGGUGUCUGAGCACUUCUCACAGGCCCCACAGAAGCUGUCCUUCUAUAGCUGGUAUGGUAGCACCCGGCUUUUCCACUUCCGUGUGCCCCCAGACACCGUGCUGCUUCGAUGGCUGCUGCAUGUGUCCCAGGGAGGUCCGUCAUGCGCCGACGUAGAGAUCACAGUGCAUUUCCGCUAUGGCGCCCCUCCUGUCAUCAACCCGCUGGGCACCAGCUUCCCUGACGACACCUUGACCCAUGCCUCCUUCCAUAUCAAGACACUGCUGAGCACCAUGUUACUGGGCAACAC
RNAcentral lists this long non-coding RNA (729 nucleotides) under Rattus norvegicus (Norway rat). RNAcentral's name for it is "long non-coding RNA NONRATT004119". The record is from RNAcentral. Lineage: Eukaryota; Metazoa; Chordata; Mammalia; Rodentia; Muridae.